Molecule: ribosomal RNA, 866 nt
Filed under: Bacillus pumilus
Lineage: Bacteria; Bacillati; Bacillota; Bacilli; Caryophanales; Bacillaceae
Description: bacterial SSU rRNA
Rfam family: Bacterial small subunit ribosomal RNA
Source: RNAcentral
CGUCAGACGAACGCUGGCGGCGUGCCUAAUACAUGCAAGUCGAGCGGACAGAAGGGAGCUUGCUCCCGGAUGUUAGCGGCGGACGGGUGAGUAACACGUGGGUAACCUGCCUGUAAGACUGGGAUAACUCCGGGAAACCGGAGCUAAUACCGGAUAGUUCCUUGAACCGCAUGGUUCAAGGAUGAAAGACGGUUUCGGCUGUCACUUACAGAUGGACCCGCGGCGCAUUAGCUAGUUGGUGGGGUAAUGGCUCACCAAGGCAACGAUGCGUAGCCGACCUGAGAGGGUGAUCGGCCACACUGGGACUGAGACACGGCCCAGACUCCUACGGGAGGCAGCAGUAGGGAAUCUUCCGCAAUGGACGAAAGUCUGACGGAGCAACGCCGCGUGAGUGAUGAAGGUUUUCGGAUCGUAAAGCUCUGUUGUUAGGGAAGAACAAGUGCGAGAGUAACUGCUCGCACCUUGACGGUACCUAACCAGAAAGCCACGGCUAACUACGUGCCAGCAGCCGCGGUAAUACGUAGGUGGCAAGCGUUGUCCGGAAUUAUUGGGCGUAAAGGGCUCGCAGGCGGUUUCUUAAGUCUGAUGUGAAAGCCCCCGGCUCAACCGGGGAGGGUCAUUGGAAACUGGGAAACUUGAGUGCAGAAGAGGAGAGUGGAAUUCCACGUGUAGCGGUGAAAUGCGUAGAGAUGUGGAGGAACACCAGUGGCGAAGGCGACUCUCUGGUCUGUAACUGACGCUGAGGAGCGAAAGCGUGGGGAGCGAACAGGAUUAGAUACCCUGGUAGUCCACGCCGUAAACGAUGAGUGCUAAGUGUUAGGGGGUUUCCGCCCCUUAGUGCUGCAGCUAACGCAUUAAGCAUUCCG